GGGAGGUGGGGGAUUUGGAAACUACAUAACUCCCUCUACUCCCACUCCAAACUCCCUGAACCUAGCAUUCUCUAGUCCCACCUCUGCCCCAACCCCAGCUUAGAAACAGCCCAUUUGGGAAGUGAAGGCAGAUACCGCAGCACAUCUGAGGAGAGGAGCACAUCUGAGUCCAAGAAGCUAUUGGGAAGAGAACUCCCUGGGCCCACAGCUUUCAGGCUUGGUCCCUAAUAUCCCUUUCUUGAUUCUGGGCAGAAAAACUGAGAAAGAAAGAAGAGGGAACUGAAAGGAGUAAAAAGAAGAAUGUGAGAAACAGAACACCUGAUUGUUACCAGCUGGGGAGAGAGGUGUUGGUGGAAGUGCCUAAGGUGGGACAGGGCCCACCACCCUGGCCAAAUAAGAAAACAUCAGCUUCAUAGCAGCACAGACUUUAAUUUUAGUUGGCAGCAGAGAG
Monodelphis domestica (gray short-tailed opossum) is the source of this 451-nucleotide non-coding RNA. The record is from RefSeq and is a predicted model, not a curated record. Lineage: Eukaryota; Metazoa; Chordata; Mammalia; Didelphimorphia; Didelphidae.